UGGCAUGGAAGGUAGGUCUAACAUGCAAAUCACCAAGUUGUUAGCGGAUCCACCGUUUUAUCCUAAGUUCCUAAGCCCACCCACAAGAAACACAAACAAACAAAACUGAUAGAAUAUGUCUAAUGCAUUAGCAACAGACAGAAAAACUUAGAAGUUAAAUCUAUGUAACUUGAACAUUUAAGGAAAUGACAUUGUAGGAAAUUGCUAUUCUUGCAGAAAUUUACAUAUGGGUUAUGUUUUAGCGACAAAAUGAUGGAAAUCAAGCAAAAUACAUCGAGAACGAUUGUCUUACGUUUGCUUCUAAAAGACUACAUAACAUACUCCCACCCCAAUCUCUAGAAAAUUCAAAAAGCAGAUAAAUAUUCAAAAUAUAAUCUCUAAAAUUUUAUUAUCCUAUUUCAAAUUCAAAAUUCGAUUACCUUGUUUGAGAAGAAUACUCGAUCAUACUUGUAACG
Molecule: unclassified non-coding RNA, 455 nt
Filed under: Hevea brasiliensis (rubber tree)
Lineage: Eukaryota; Viridiplantae; Streptophyta; Magnoliopsida; Malpighiales; Euphorbiaceae
Source: RNAcentral